AAGGCAUGCAAGUCGAAUGGGUUUAGACCCAUGGCAGACGAGGUAGUAACACGUAGGAACGUCCCCGGAAGUCGGGCAUAAUCAGUCGAAAGGCUAGCUAAUUCUCGAUAGUCUCGCAAGAGUAAAGUUUUUCGCUUCCGGAGCGGCCUGCGCAGCAUCAGCUUGUUGGUAAGGUAAUGGCUUACCAAGGCUACGACGCUUAGGGGAGGUGAGAGCCUGACCCCCACCGAUCGGACUGAGACACGGCCGAUACUCCUACGGGAGGCAGCAGCCGAGAAUAUUCGACAAUGGGCGAAAGCCUGAUCGAGCGAUACCGCGUGAUGGAUGAAGUACUUUGGUACGUAAACAUCUUUUAUAGGGGAGGAAUCUUAUUGACGGUACCCUAUGAAUAAGGGGCUCCUAACUCUGUGCCAGCAGCCGCGGUAAUACAUAUGUCCCGAGUGUUACCCGGAAUAAUUGGGUGUAAAGGGUUCGUAGGCGGAUUGAAAAGUUAGAUAUGAAAGACCGAAGCUCAACUUCGUGUUUGUAUCUAAAACUCUCAAUCUAGAAUUAGGGAGAGGUAAGCGGAAUUCUAAGUGUAGGGGUGCAAUCCGUAGAUACUUAGAGGAACACCGAAAGCGAAGGCAGCUUACUGGAACUAUAUUGACGCUGAGGAACGAAAGCG
This 664-nucleotide ribosomal RNA is filed under the name uncultured bacterium. RNAcentral's name for it is "bacterial SSU rRNA". It matches the Rfam family "Bacterial small subunit ribosomal RNA", at positions 50 to 761 of the family's 1533-position model. The record is from RNAcentral.